ACUCGGGAAACUGAGGUUAAUGCGCCAUAGGAUAAUGAAACUGGAAUGUUCGUUUUCUAAAAGGACAGCUAUCAUCUUAGUGUAGUCGCUUUAGGAUGGGUCUGCGGCAGAUUAGGUUGUUGGCGGGGUAACUGCCCACCAAGCCUACGAUCUGUACGGGUCUUGUAAGAGAGAGCCCGGAGAAGGAGACUGAGAAAAGGCUCCUAGCCCUACGGGGUGCAGCAGGGACGAAACCUUUACACUGUGCGAAAGCGCGAUAGGGUAAUUCCCAGUGCUAGCUUAGCUAGCUUUUAUAGAGUGUAAAUAGCUCUAUGAAUAAGUGGUGGGUAAGAUACGUGCCAGCCGCCGCGGUAAUACGUACUCCACAAGUGGUGCUCGCGAUUAUUGGGCUUAAAGAAUCUGUAGCCUGUUAAACAAGUCUUUUGUUAAAUCAAUCAGCUUAACUGAUUGGCCGCAAAGGAUACUAUUUGACUAGAGGAAGGGAGACGUUUGAAGUAUUUCUAGGGUACCGGUGAAAUGGGAUAAUCCUAGAAGGACUACCAGUAGCGAAGGCGUCAAACGAGAACUAACCUGACGGUGAGAGAUGAAAGCUGGGGGAGCGACCCGGAUUAGAUACCCGGUUAGUCCCAGCCGUAAACGAUGCUGACUAGAUGUAGCGAUAACUACGUGUUUUCGCUGUGUCGUAGGGAAACCGUUAAGUCAGCCGCCUGAGGAGUAUGGCUGCAAAGCUGAAACUUAA
Molecule: ribosomal RNA, 739 nt
Filed under: uncultured archaeon
Lineage: Archaea
Description: bacterial SSU rRNA
Rfam family: Archaeal small subunit ribosomal RNA
Source: RNAcentral